CGAGGAGGUAGGGCUUACGCUUGCGUUUGUCUGUUAUAUCUUGGUGGACGAGUCGUCGCGGUUGGGACUGAGGUGCCUACAACGUGCUUUUGAGUGGGUUUGUGUCUCCGUGUGCGCCGUGUGCGGAUAGCUUGCUAUGUAUGUGUGGUUGUGUGUGGAUUGAUGCGGGCCUUAACUUGUUGCCGUUCGGGACGUUGACGAAAUGGAGCGAUCCGACCCGUCUUGAAACACGGACCAAGGAGUCUAACAUAUGUGCAAGUGUUAGGGUGUGGAAACCCCAGCGCGUAAUGAAAGUAAAGGGCAGCGCAAGUUGUCUGAGGUAGGAAACGUUGUGGACUUCGGUCUGCGGCGUGGCACUAUCGACCGAUCAUGAACCUUCGUGGUGAAAGAUUUGAGUUUGAGCACAUAUGUUGGUACCCGAAAGAUGGUGAACUAUGCCUGAGUAGGGUGAAGCCAGGGGAAACUCUGGUGGAAGCUCGUAGCGAUUCUGACGUGCAAAUCGAUCGUCGAACUUGGGUAUAGGGGCGAAAGACUAAUCGAACCAUCUAGUAGCUGGUUCCCUCCGAAAUUUCCCUCAGGAUAGCAGCAACUUAUUUACGAUAGUUUUAUGAGGUAAAGCGAAUGAUUAGAGGAUUCGGGGAAGAAACUUCCUCGACCUAUUCUCAAACUUUAAAUCUGUAAGACCUGCAGGUUUCUUAAU
Molecule: ribosomal RNA, 700 nt
Filed under: Pseudoperonospora cubensis
Lineage: Eukaryota; Oomycota; Peronosporomycetes; Peronosporales; Peronosporaceae
Description: LSU rRNA
Rfam family: Eukaryotic large subunit ribosomal RNA
Source: RNAcentral